GAAACCAAGUGGUAUUUUUCCCCUUUUCCGCAUGUGCAGUAAUACUGCUGCUGCCCAGCCAUGCCAAGCCGGCAGCUUCCAUGCAGAAAAUGCAUAAUGAGCCCGGUGUUCGUGGGCAGCUCUGCAUCAGCUUGGGGUUUCCAGCAGCACUUCUGAAAUAUGUGCAGCCUGUUCAUUCGGCGCCUACACAGUCCAGCAAGCAGCGAGGGCAAGGAGGAACAGGGGCCCGGAACAGCCGGUCGCCGCUGCGAAUAGAACAACUCAUCCAUCCUGCAGCCUGUCGCCGAGCCGAGCUAUCCCAGAGGUCGCGCAUCUCUGCCAUGGAGCGUGACGAGGAUAUUAAUCCUGCAGAUCAGUGCCAAAGAGAAAAUGCUUUGCAGGAAGUAACCUGUUCUCGUUCCUUUGGCUUGCGGAAUAGAUGUCGCAGCAGGCUCGUGCAGCUUCCGUGCUCUCUGGGGCCUUCAGAAACGGGAAGAACAGUGCGGAUCGCUUUUCUGAAAAGUCAGCGAAAUCUCAGGUUUCGGAUCUGAAUCUUGGGCUGUAAUUCCUGUGCGUACGCUAUAGAAAAUGGAUGCCUCUCUCAUUAUACCUGGAUAUUGCUGUCGCUUUUUCUUGAUGGGAUGAACGAAGACAUGACCUCGAAAGCUCCGUGUGAACUCAGUCCCGGUGCCUUAUAAUCUCCUCACCGAGUGCAUUUUCUGAAUUUGCAGGAAGAUCAGCGCACCUGCACGUUCUCCUGCCGGGCGCUGCGAGUAUCGGUGCCGGCGGCUGCCCUUGGGAGCAAGCCCCAACCCUUGGCGUCUCCGAUCAGAGCUGAGAGGGAGCAUCUGCUCCGGGCCCAUGCCAUUGCUGCCGGAGCGCGCAGAGCAGCCCGCCGGCAGCGCGGAUGCCUUGCUGGGCACUGUGGCCUCGGGCAGCUGCCUGUUGUGACCAGCGCUGCUGUCCUAAUGCUUCUAAUUCUGCCAGUGAAAUGGAGUGCGAGUAAUUGAAAUAACCAAUAGGUUAAAUCUGCCGAUGCUUUUUUUUAUUGCUGUGUCUGUCUCACCCGAGCCCUCCCCGCCCCGUUUCGUAAUGAACUUGCUUUGCCGCUAGCAAGAAAAUUGAACUCAUUUUGUUUACUUGUCUCUUUAACUACUUCUUAUUGGAUUUUCCUGUCCUCUUUCUCUGAUGCAGAGUUCUGCUGUAUUUAUGCCAUCCAAAUAAUUUGUUUGUAUGUAAUCUGAAAGCGUUUGGUUAAAAUGGUUUAUUUAGAUUCUCAGAUCCCACCCCCAACUUCUGUUUAAGAUACAGCAAUUCUUUUGAAUUAGUUGAUUUGGUUGGGUGGAUGAGUACUUUGAAAUUAAUCUUUGAAUGUGGAAAAGAUAUAAAACAUGCAUGCACAAGACUGAAAAUACUUCAGCUGAAAAUUUGUAUGUUGCUGAACACGAAUCCAAAUUUGAAUAUCUUAGUUGAGAAGAGUAAAUAGCCUUUUAUGUAGGCUCUUGUAAGACAUUUUUGCAUCGAAAUCUGAUGACUCUGGAGAGAAGCUUCUGAUCCUGUGUUCUGAAAGUGGCUUCUGUUUCAU
Molecule: long non-coding RNA, 1564 nt
Organism: Apteryx owenii (little spotted kiwi)
Lineage: Eukaryota; Metazoa; Chordata; Aves; Apterygiformes; Apterygidae
Source: Ensembl